AGUGUAAAUUCUCCUGGAGCCUGUCAAGCUAUGUUUGAACUCGUUCCAGGAUAGUGGAUUUACUUUUUUUUCCCCACCAGGAAGAAUACUCGAUUAGACUGCAUUUUGCCUUGCUUUUCCUUCUCCCUUUCUCUCUCUUUCUUUCUUUCUUUCUUUCUUUCUUUCUUUCUUUCUUUCUUUCUUUCUUUCUUUCUUUCUUUCUUUCUUUUUCUUUCUCUCUCUCUCUCUCUUUCUUUCUUUCCUUUCUUUUCUUUCUUUCCUCUUUCUCUUUCCUUCUUUCUUUUUUUCUUCUUUCUUUCCUUCCUUCCUUCCAUCUUUCUUUUCUUUCUUUCCAUUUUUUUUUUCCUCCAGAAGAAUGGAAACAGUAUUCUUUUCCGAUCAGUUCAGUAAUACAAUGUCCUUCAGUGUCCAUAUGAGCAUUUCAGUGGAGAAGAAAAGAAACUUUGCUACCUGGGAACUGAAGACUACUUAGUGAAGAUCCCGGUGUUACACAUCCAAUCGUUCACCUCCUUCCAAGACUAUGACAUUCCAGGAAACCUUCACUGCUAAGAGGAACUAAGAUCUAGAGUAUCUCCUCGAGGAAGUACAACUGGGUUGCUAUGAAGAUCAAUGGGUUGAACACAUGU
Molecule: long non-coding RNA, 626 nt
Filed under: Homo sapiens (human)
Lineage: Eukaryota; Metazoa; Chordata; Mammalia; Primates; Hominidae
Description: non-protein coding MIR100HG:54
Source: RNAcentral